AGCUUCUGUAGCUCCUCCCCUUCCUCCUCACUUCCUGCUUGCGACGCUUAAGAAGCAGAGCAGUACAAUGAGUCGCAGAAAAUGAGUUUAUGUGUCUUCUACUUCAUUUUCAGCAUCGGCUCCUACCCGCCGUGACGCUCGCUCCUUCGCUUUCUCCGGCUGCGUUGCUGGCUGUGACCAGCAGGUCUGCAGAGGGGAUGCCGGGGGGCAGCAAGCAGGACAAUCCUGUGGUGGUGCACAGCUGAGAAGUGAGGGAAACUGUUGGCGUGUACACAGAGUACGUGGUGGCAAACACUGCCGGGUUCCAGGAAACUACAGUGCUGGAGUCGCUACUGUACAUCACGUUCAAUGGUGGACACGGGACUGGAGAAAAAAAACAGAAACUGAGCGUUGUUAUCUUUGCAAAGGCAGAUUUUUCUAAGUGUAUACUGUACAUCAGUGGUUCUCAAAGUACCACCCUAGAAAACACUUGGCUCUCCAAGUACCACCAUAAUGACCACCAUUGAAAUACAGUAGCAUAGUAGGCUUAAAUAUUCAUCAAAAACAAGGCAGAUAUUUUAUUUAUCAAGUAUAUUUAAUUAUUGUGGCCACUGUAACAUUACACACAGUUUAAACAGUAACACUAUGUUUGAAUAUAGUAAAAUAAAACACUGUACUUUAAUAAUGAAUCAAAUGUUUGGCGUUGCUACUAGAUGGAGCUCGCGUACCACUAAUGCAGGGGUCGGCAACCUAGAAUGCUAAAAGAGCCAUAUUGGACCGAAAUACAAAAAUAAAUCUGUCUGGAGCCGCAUAUAAUUAAAAGUCUUAUAUAAGUGUUAUAAUGAAUACAACACAUUAUGUUAGUGUCUGUAUUAGUUAUAUUAGCCUACUAUCAAAAUGACUUUAAAAGUGUUAUAUAAGUGUUAUAAUGAAUACAACACAUGAUGUAAGUGUCUAUACUAACCAUAUUAGCCUAUUAUCAAAAUGACUUUAAAAGUCUUAUAUAAGUCUUAUAAUGAAGACAACACAUGAUGCAAGUGUCUAUAUUAGCAUACUAUCAAAAUUACUUUAAAAGUCUUAUAUAAGUGUUGUAAUGAAAGAAGACAUGAUGUGUUUAUAUUAGCCUAUUGUCAAAAUGACUUUAAAAGCCUUAUAUAAGUGUUACAAUGAAGACAACACAUUAUGUAAGUGUCUACAAACCCCGUUUCCAUAUGAGUUGGGAAAUUGUGUUAGAUGUAAAUAUAAACGGAAUACAAUGAUUUGCAAAUCAUUUUCAACCCAUAUGCUACAAAGACGACAUAUUUGAUGUUCAAACUGAUAAACAUUUUUUUGUUGUUGCAAAUAAUCAUUAACUGUAGAAUUUGAUGCCAGUAACAUGUGACAAAGAAGUUGGGAAAGGUGGCAAUAAAUACUGAUAAAGUUGAGAAAUUCUCAUCAAACACUUAUUUGGAACAUCCCACAGGUGUGCAGGCUAAUUGGGAACAGGAUGGUCCCAUGAUUGGGUAUAAAAGCAGCUUCAAUUAAAUGCUAAGUAAUUCACACACAAUUAUGGGGCGAGUUUAACCACUUUGUAAGCAAAUUGUAGAACAGUUGUAGAACAACAUUUCUCAACGAGCUAUUGCAAGGAAUUUAGGGAUUUUACCAUCUACGGUCCAUAAAAUCAUCAAAAGGUUGAGAGAAUCUGGAGAAAUCACUGCACAUAAGCGAUGAUAUUACGGACCGUUGAUCCCUCAGGCGGUACUGCAUCAAAAACAGACAUUGUGUAAAGGAUAUCACCACAUGGGCUCAGGAACACUUCAUAAAACCACUGUCAGUAACUACAGUUGGUUGCUAAAUCUGUAAGUGCAAGUUAAAACUCUGCUAUGCAAAGCCAAACCCAUUUAUCAACAACACCAAGGAACGCCGCUGGCUUCGCUGGGCCCGAGCUCAUCUAAGAAGGACUGAUGCAAAGUGGAAAGGUGUUCUGUGCUCUAACGUGUUCACAUUUCAAAAUAUAUUUGGAAACUGUGGACGUGGUGUCCUCCGGAACAAAGAGGAAAAUAACCAUCCGGAUUGUUAUAGGCGCAAAGUUCAAAAGCCAGCAUCUGUGAUGGUAUGGGGGUGCAUUAGUGCCCAAGGCAUGGGUAACUUACACAUCUGUGAAGGCACCAUUAAUGCUGAAUGGUCCAUACAGGUUUUGUAGCAACAUUGGUUGUCAACCAAGCAACGUUAUCAUGGACGCCACUGCUUAUUUCAGCAAGACAAUGCCAAGCCACGUGUUACAACAGCGUGGUUUCGUAGUAAAAGAGUGCGGCUACUUUCCUGGCCCGCCUGCAGUCCAGACCUGUCUCCCAUGGAAAAUGUGUGGCGCAUUAUGAAGCGUAAAAUACGACAAUGGAGACCCAGGACUGUUGAACGACUAAAGCUCUACAUAAAACAAGAAUGGGAAAGAAUUCCACUUUCAAAGCUUCAACAAUUAGUUUCCUCAGUUCUCAAACGUUUAUUGAGUGUUGUUAAAAGAAAAGGUGAUGUAACGCAGUGGUGAGCAUGCCCUUUCCCAACUACUUUGUCACGUGUUGCAGCCAUGAAAUUCUAAGUUAAUUAUUAUUUGCAAAGGAAAAAUAAAGUUUAUGAGUUUGAACAUCAAAUAUGUUGUCUUUGUAGUGCAUUCAACUGAAUAUGGGUUGAAAAGGAUUUGCAAAUCAUUGUGUUCUGUUUAUGUUUACAUCUAACACAAUUUCCCAACUCAUAUGGAAAUGGGGUUUGUAUAUUAGCCUACUAUCAAAAUGACUUUAAAAGUCGUAUACGAGUGUUAAAAUGAAUACAACACACAAUGUAAGUGUUUAUAUUAGCCUAAUAUCAAAAUUACUUUAAAAGCCUUAUAUACCUGUUAUAAUGAAGACGACACAUGAUGUGUCUAUUUUAGUUACACAUACACACCAGCCCCCAGACGCAUUUUUCUUUCUCAAUGUAUUUCCUGAGUCCAAAUAAUUGCCCAGGCAUGUUCUAUUGUAUUGUUUUUUAUACAAUAUUUACUGUCUAAAAGCUUGUUUUUAUUUUUAAUAGGCAUGUUACGUGCCACAUCCUUGAAUUAAUCUGUAUCUGUCCCUUGGUGGAAAAAAGUUUGGUUCUGAUUGUGUACCCAACGCGUGUGAGAUCUACCUGUUGUUCCGUUAAGAAGCCCGGAUCGGUCACUGCUUCCGGCCGCGUUUCUGCUCUCCAUGGUAGCCGAGUACCACGACCCGCAAGGAAGCGGGAUCUCAAAUGAAGUCCUGUUCGUCCAAUAGGACGACACCUCAAACUGGGCCUGGUCGUCUCCCAGUAGGUUACCUUCUAAAGCCAGCAUGUACUCCGUGUCGGCACAGCUUAUGUCCGUCCAAUUGAACCUCAGUAACUGGAUGUCUGCAUACAUGGUCAAAUGCUGCACCUCCACAACAGCUGGAGGACAAGGGGCUGAAAAGGAGGGAGACUUCAUAUUAGGGCUGUCAAAAGUAACAAGUUAACUCAUGUGAUUAAUCACAAAAAGCCUAUUGCAUUACUCAUGUACAGUACAGGCCAAAAGUUUAGACACACCUUUUCCUUCGAUGCAUUUUCUUUAUUUUAAUGACUAUUUACAUUGUAGAUUGUCACAUCAAAACUAUGAAUGAACACAUGUGGAGUUAUGGACGUCACAAAAAAAGGUGAAAUAAUAACAGUUCUAGUUUCUUCAAAAUAGCCACCCUUUGCUUUGAGUACUGCUUUUAACACCCUUGGCAUUCUCUCAAUGAGCUUCAAGCACAACUGUGAAGUGAAUUGAAACCCAUUUCAGGUGGCUACCUCUUUAAGCUCAUCGAGAGAAUGCCAAGAGUGUGGAAAGCAGUAAUCCGCGCAAAGGGUGGCUAUUUUGAAGAAACUAAAAUAUAAAACAUGUUUUCAAUAAUUUCACCUUUUUUUGUAUAAUACAUAACUCCACAUGUGUUCAUUCAUAGUUUUUGUGACAAUCUACAAUGUUAAUAGUCAUGAAAAUAAAGAAAAUUUGUUGAAUGAGGAGAAGGUGUGUCCAAACUUUUGGCUUGUACUGUAUAUACACAGAUAAACCACGCAAUUGAUCUUUUUGACAUUAACCGCGGAAGGUCGUUAUAUGGUCAAUGCCUAAUAGGUCAAAUAUGCAAAAGUGAACAUUUCGUUUCAAAAGACAGCCUGACUGGACCUUGGAUAAAACCAUUGCUGUUAAACCUCCAUCACUCAAGGCUUUUGAGUUUUUACAAGCUCCUUUUUAUGUCAUCCAGGCUAAUUUUGCGUUCCAAAAUUAGCACGGCUAAUUGCGAUUUCUGGUACUGUAUGUGAGUCAUGCACAAAUGGAUGGUAUAUGCUUGGCACAAUAUAAUGCAUUACAUGUAAUGAUUUUCUACUUAGUGUAUUGACAUGAUAGUAGGCUAUAUGAUUUAUGCGUAAUGGUUUGUACAGUCCUUUGAGACAUUUGUGAUUUAGGGCUAUAUAAAUAAACAUUGAUUGAUUGAUUGAUGUGUAACGUGGUUUUUGUAUAACGUGGGUUGGCUCAUAGAAUUGCACUCUGCACAGAAAGAUGGUGAUGUGCGUAC
Molecule: long non-coding RNA, 4538 nt
Organism: Nerophis ophidion (straightnose pipefish)
Lineage: Eukaryota; Metazoa; Chordata; Actinopteri; Syngnathiformes; Syngnathidae
Exons: 3
Source: RefSeq, a predicted model, not a curated record